Molecule: ribosomal RNA, 253 nt
Filed under: uncultured bacterium
Lineage: Bacteria
Description: partial 16S ribosomal RNA
Rfam family: Bacterial small subunit ribosomal RNA
Source: RNAcentral
UACGUAGGGGGCAAGCGUUGUCCGGAAUCAUUGGGCGUAAAGCGCGUGUAGGCGGCUCGAUAAGUCUGCUGUGAAAGUCCAGGGCUCAACCCUGGGAUGCCGGUGGAUACUGUCGAGCUCGAGUCCGGAAGAGGCGAGUGGAAUUCCUGGUGUAGCGGUGAAAUGCGCAGAUAUCAGGAGGAACACCGGUGGCGAAGGCGGGUCUCUGGGCCGAUACUGACGCUGAGAAGCGAAAGCGUGGGGAGCGAACAGG